RNAcentral lists this ribosomal RNA (1310 nucleotides) under metagenome. Its description in RNAcentral is "SSU rRNA". It matches the Rfam family "Eukaryotic small subunit ribosomal RNA", at positions 483 to 1799 of the family's 1831-position model. The record is from RNAcentral.
AUUCCGAGCCUUACAAGGUUUGGAGAUUGGAAUGAGCACAAUUUAAAAACCUUAGCGAUGAUCCACUGGAGGGCAAGCCUGGUGCCAGCAGCCGCGGUAAUUCCAGCUCCAGUAGCGUAUAUUAAAGUUGUUGCAGUUAAAAAGCUCGUAGUUGGAUUUCUGACGUGACUUGCCUGGCCCGCUCGGGUUUCCGUUGUGAGUGCCGGUUUGUGAGUCCGUCUUCCUUCUAGGGUGUCAUCGAUUCCCGUGUUUCGCGGUGUGGCCGUGUCGCCCUAGAUCUUUUACUUUGAAAAAAUUAGAGUGUUUAAAGCAGGCUUUCGCUAUUGAAUACAUUAGCAUGGAAUAAUAAUAUAGGACUUCGGCCUAUUUUGUUGGUUUCGAGGACGAAGUAAUGAUUGACAGGGAUAGUUGGGGGUGCUUGUAUUCAGCGUUCAGAGGUGAAAUUCUUGGAUCCGCUGAAGACAAACUUAUGCGAAAGCAUUCACCAAGGAUGUCUUCUUUAAUCAAGAACGAAAGUUGGGGGAUCGAAGACGAUCAGAUACCGUCGUAGUCUCAACCAUAAACUAUACCGACUAAGGAUGAGUGAUCGUUGCAUUUUCGACUUCAUUCGCACUUUGUGAGAAAUCAAAGUCUUUGGGUUCCGGGGGGAGUAUGGUCGCAAGGCUGAAACUUUAAGGAAUUGACGGAAGGGCACCACCAGGAGUGGAGCCUGCGGCUUAAUUUGACCCAACACGGGGAAACUUACCAGGUCCAGACUCAGGUAGGAUUGACAGAUUGAAGAUCUUUCUUGAUUGUGAGGGUGGUGGUGCAUGGCCGUUCUUAGUUGGUGGAGUGAUCUGUCUGGUUAAUUCCGUUAACGAACGAGACCUCGACCUACUAAAUAGUGCGAUGAACCCUCGGGUUCAUUGAUCACUUCUUAGAGGGACUAUUGGUGGUUAGCCAAUGGAGGUUCGAGGCAAUAACAGGUCUGUGAUGCCCUUAGAUGUUCUGGACUGCACGUGCGCUACAAUGCAGGGUUCAACGAGCAUACAACCUUGACUGACAAGUCUGGGUAAUCUUCUCAAAGCCCUGCGUGCUGGGGAUAGAUUAUUGUAAUUAUUAAUCUUCAACGAGGAAUUCCUAGUAAACGCGAGUCAUCAACUCGCAUUGAUUACGUCCCUGCCCUUUGUACACACCGCCCGUCGCUACUACCGAUUGAAUGACUUAGUGAGCAUCAGGGAUGGCGCCUUCGUGUUGGAUUUCUCCUUCGUGAAGUGUGCCAGAACUGCCGCAAACUUGAUCAUUUAGAGGAAGUAAAAGUCGUAACAAGG